AAAGGCCCUUCGGGGUACUCGAGCGGCGAACGGGUGAGUAACACGUGAGUAACCUGCCCUGGACUUUGGGAUAACCCUCGGAAACGGGGGCUAAUACCGGAUACGACGCGGAUCUGCAUGGAUCUGUGUGGAAAGUUUUUCGGUCUGGGAUGGGCUCGCGGCCUAUCAGCUUGUUGGUGGGGUGAUGGCCUACCAAGGCGACGACGGGUAGCCGGCCUGAGAGGGCGACCGGCCACACUGGGACUGAGACACGGCCCAGACUCCUACGGGAGGCAGCAGUGGGGAAUAUUGCACAAUGGGCGGAAGCCUGAUGCAGCGACGCCGCGUGAGGGAUGACGGCCUUCGGGUUGUAAACCUCUUUCAGCAGGGACGAAGCGGAAGUGACGGUACCUGCAGAAGAAGCGCCGGCCAACUACGUGCCAGCAGCCGCGGUAAGACGUAGGGCGCGAGCGUUGUCCGGAUUUAUUGGGCGUAAAGAGCUCGUAGGCGGCUUGUCGCGUCGACUGUGAAAACCCGCGGCUCAACCGCGGGCCUGCAGCCGAUACGGGCAGGCUAGAGUUCGGUAGGGGAGACUGGAAUUCCUGGUGUAGCGGUGAAAUGCGCAGAUAUCAGGAGGAACACCGGUGGCGAAGGCGGGUCUCUGGGCCGAUACUGACGCUGAGGAGCGAAAGCGUGGGGAGCGAACAGGAUUAGAUACCCUGGUAGUCCACGCUGUAAACGUUGGGCGCUAGGUGUGGGGGACCUCUCCGGUUCUCUGUGCCGCAGCUAACGCAUUAAGCGCCCCGCCUGGGGAGUACGGCCGCAAGGCU
This 809-nucleotide ribosomal RNA is filed under the name uncultured bacterium. RNAcentral's name for it is "bacterial SSU rRNA". It matches the Rfam family "Bacterial small subunit ribosomal RNA", at positions 71 to 895 of the family's 1533-position model. The record is from RNAcentral.